AUUGAACGCUGGCGGCAGGCCUAACACAUGCAAGUCGAGCGAGCGGCGGACGGGUGAGUACUGCAUGGGGACUGCCCGAUAGAGGGGGAUAACUACUGGAAACGGUGGCUAAUACCGCAUACUGUCGGCUCACCCAUAUGGGAUUAGCUCGUACGUAAGGUAAUGGCUUACCUAGGCAACGCUCCCUAGCUGGUCUGAGAGGAUGGUCAGCCACACUGGGACUGAGACACGGCCCAGACGCCUACGGAGGCAGCAGUGGGGAAUAUUGCACAAUGGACGAAAGUCUGACGGAGCAACGCCGCGUGAGUGAUGACGGCCUUCGGGUUGGAAAGCUCUGUUAAUCGGGAGACGGUACCGGAAUAGAAAGCCACGGCUAACUACGUGCCAGCAGCCGCGGUAAUUC
RNAcentral lists this ribosomal RNA (403 nucleotides) under uncultured bacterium. RNAcentral describes it as "partial 16S ribosomal RNA". It matches the Rfam family "Bacterial small subunit ribosomal RNA", at positions 30 to 526 of the family's 1533-position model. The record is from RNAcentral.